This 497-nucleotide ribosomal RNA is filed under the name uncultured bacterium. RNAcentral describes it as "partial 16S ribosomal RNA". It matches the Rfam family "Bacterial small subunit ribosomal RNA", at positions 28 to 507 of the family's 1533-position model. The record is from RNAcentral.
GAUGAACGCUGGCGGCGUGCCUAAUACAUGCAAGUCGAGCGAACAGACGAGGAGCUUGCUCCUCUGACGUUAGCGGCGGACGGGUGAGUAACACGUGGAUAACCUACCUAUAAGACUGGGAUAACUUCGGGAAACAGGAGCUAAUACCAGAUAAUAUAUUGAACCGCAUGGUUCAAUAGUGAAAGACAGUUUUGCUGUCUCUUAUAGAUGGAUCCGCGCCGCAUUAGCUAGUUGGUAAGGUAACGGCUUACCAAGGCAACGAUGCGUAGCCGACCUGAGAGGGUGAUCGGCCACACUGGAACUGAGACACGGUCCAGACUCCUACGGGAGGCAGCAGUAGGGAAUCUUCCGCAAUGGGCGAAAGCCUGACGGAGCAACGCCGCGUGAGUGAUGAAGGUCUUCGGAUCGUAAAACUCUGUUAUUAGGGAAGAACAAAUGUGUAAGUAACUAUGCACGUCUUGACGGUACCUAAUCAGAAAGCCACGGCUAACUACGUG